RNAcentral lists this transfer RNA (85 nucleotides) under Escherichia coli. RNAcentral's name for it is "tRNA-Tyr". It matches the Rfam family "tRNA". From Rfam's summary of the family: Transfer RNA (tRNA) molecules are approximately 80 nucleotides in length. The record is from RNAcentral. Lineage: Bacteria; Pseudomonadati; Pseudomonadota; Gammaproteobacteria; Enterobacterales; Enterobacteriaceae.
GGUGGGGUUCCCGAGCGGCCAAAGGGAGCAGACUGUAAAUCUGCCGUCAUCGACUUCGAAGGUUCGAAUCCUUCCCCCNNNNCCC